RNAcentral lists this ribosomal RNA (468 nucleotides) under uncultured bacterium. Its description in RNAcentral is "partial 16S ribosomal RNA". It matches the Rfam family "Bacterial small subunit ribosomal RNA", at positions 28 to 507 of the family's 1533-position model. The record is from RNAcentral.
GACGAACGCUGGCGGCGUGCUUAACACAUGCAAGUCGAACGGAAAGGCCCUGCUUUUGUGGGGUGCUCGAGUGGCGAACGGGUGAGUAACACGUGAGUAACCUGCCCUUGACUUUGGGAUAACUUCAGGAAACUGGGGCUAAUACCGGAUAGGAGCUCCUGCUGCAUGGUGGGGGUUGGAAAGUUUCGGCGGUUGGGGAUGGACUCGCGGCUUAUCAGCUGGUUGGUGGGGUAGUGGCUUACCAAGGCUUUGACGGGUAGCCGGCCUGAGAGGGUGACCGGCCACAUUGGGACUGAGAUACGGCCCAGACUCCUACGGGCGGCAGCAGUGGGGAAUAUUGCACAAUGGGCGGAAGCCUGAUGCAGCAACGCCGCGUGCGGGAUGACGGCCUUCGGGUUGUAAACCGCUUUCGCCUGUGACGAAGCGUGAGUGACGGUAAUGGGUAAAGAAGCACCGGCUAACUACGUG